This is a long non-coding RNA of Rhagoletis pomonella (apple maggot), 223 nucleotides long. RefSeq lists it as uncharacterized. The record is from RefSeq and is a predicted model, not a curated record. The transcript has 2 exons. NCBI's taxonomy places the organism in Eukaryota, Metazoa, Arthropoda, Insecta, Diptera, Tephritidae.
UCUCGCUCCCGCAUUCUGCCUUAGCCUGUGUUGCUUUCUUUUUUGAUUUAUAUAAGCUACUACUUAAAGACAAGGAGAAAUAUUGUCUUCGUAUAAAAGGUUCAGCAGGCAACACUGCCGUUAGUUUCAUCGAUUGUUUCGAGGAAAUUGAUUUUCUUAUUGCGCAAAUUCAAAGUAUCGGAGUUAUUCAAAAACCUGCGUUUUACAGCAAGUGCAGCCGUUA